GAUGAACGCUGGCGGCGUGCCUAAUACAUGCAAGUCGAGCGAACAGACGAGGAGCUUGCUCCUCUGACGUUAGCGGCGGACGGGUGAGUAACACGUGGAUAACCUACCUAUAAGACUGGGAUAACUUCGGGAAACCGGAGCUAAUACCGGAUAAUAUAUUGAACCGCAUGGUUCAAUAGUGAAAUACGGUUUUGCUGUCACUUAUAGAUGGAUCCGCGCCGCAUUAGCUAGUUGGUAAGGUAACGGCUUACCAAGGCAACGAUGCGUAGCCGACCUGAGAGGGUGAUCGGCCACACUGGAACUGAGACACGGUCCAGACGCCUACGGGAGGCAGCAGUAGGGAAUCGUCCGCAAUGGGCGAGAGCCUGACGGAGCAACGCCGCGUGAGUGAUGAAGGUCUUCGGAUCGGAAAACUCUGUUAUUAGGGAAGAACAAAUGUGUAAGUAACUAUGCACGUCUUGACGGUACCUAAUCAGAAAGCCACGGCUAACUACGUG
This 497-nucleotide ribosomal RNA is filed under the name uncultured bacterium. Its description in RNAcentral is "partial 16S ribosomal RNA". It matches the Rfam family "Bacterial small subunit ribosomal RNA", at positions 28 to 507 of the family's 1533-position model. The record is from RNAcentral.